UUUUCUGUAACCAAUUAAGAAGGUUCUAGAGGAUAGGGAAAGGACUAAUUAGCAAAACGAAAACUAAAAGAAGUCAAAUUUUUGGGACUUUUGAGCUGAAAAAUGAAGGAAAACAUCUGCAAAGGUACAACUGUCCAAUUCGGUUUUAGAAGAUGCUUUUUUUCGUAUUUUUAGGGAUGACACAUGUUAAAAGGGAUUCCUUGAUUUUUAGUAUAAAAAGGGGAUCUUCCCCACAGAUAAAGGGAUUUUUUGGAUGCUCUGCAUUUUUGAAAAGAAAGAAGGAUCUUCUGACUCUCUACUUUUCUUUCAAAAAAUAUCCUCAUUCUCAUUUUGUUUCAGAAAAUAUCUUAAAAACUAAAAAAAAACGGUUUAGAAAAACAACAAAAAAGGAGAGAUUCGAAUUCAUACUAUUUCAGUAGUUUUUCUGGGUUCUCUUUGGAUUUUGGAAGUGGCCUUUUGAAGCUGUUUUGGUUUGCUUUUAGCUGUUCGUGCUGAUAUUUUCCUCAACAUUUAGAGAUUUAUUUUCUUUGUGUAUUUUUGUUAUAACCAGGUAUGAAGCUGAGCAUUUGUUCUUCCAUGAUUGUAUACAUGAAGUUUGAAAUUCCAUGUUAAGCUCCAUGUGAUUAGCAUGUUCUGCAACAUUCUUAUUUAAAUCUGUUUCGUGCAUUACUGUACUUUAAACACAUUAUUAUUGUAUUGAAAUAAUACAUGAUGACAGUCAUGGUAUGAAGUUAUCAAAUGGAAUUGUGAUUUAGCUUGUUUGCCUCCCUAUUCUAUGAUGGAGUAUAUUGUGCUUAUGAUUCUCCACGAAGAAUAAUUUAAGAUUUUUUGUAUAAUUGAUUUUCCAUUAGUCAUGAACAAGUUUGUGGUGUUAGUCAGGUGAUAAGAGCAAUUAAAACUUGCUAGAUAGGAUUUUGAAACUGAAAUUGUAUAAAUAUAUGUGUACCCAUAUUUUGUUCGUUAAGUUUGGUAGGAUUACAUCAAUUGUGGCUAGGAUCAUUUGCCUUUGUAAUAGUUCAAGCUUAAAGUGCGAUUUUUCUCUUUGAUUAGCGUUUUAAUUGUCAAAUAUUUAGCCAGAUUUGUAAUUAUACUAUGCUGUAAUUUAUU
This 1107-nucleotide long non-coding RNA is filed under the name Nicotiana tabacum (common tobacco). Its description in RNAcentral is "long non-coding RNA (NTAB_LNC015926)". The record is from RNAcentral. Lineage: Eukaryota; Viridiplantae; Streptophyta; Magnoliopsida; Solanales; Solanaceae.